CCGAGUUGUAAUUUGAAGAUGGUGUUCUGGUGCCSGCCCCCUGUCUACGUUCCUUGGAACAGGACAUCGCAGAGGGUGAGAAUCCCGUCUGGSGGGGCGGCCUGGCUCCGUGUARAGCGCCAUCGACGAGUCSAGUUGUUUGGGAAUGCAGCUCUAAGUGGGUGGUAAAUUCCAUCUAAAGCUAAAUAUUGGCGAGAGACCSAUAGCGAACAAGUACAGUGAUGGAAAGAUGAAAAGAACUUUGAAAAGAGAGUGAAAAAGUACGUGAAAUUGUUGAAAGGGAAGGGUAUUGGAUCAGACUUGGUGCUGUGCGAAUAGCGGCUCUUCUUGGGCCGCCCACUCGCACUCCACCGGGCCAGCAUCGGUUUGGGCGGCAAGACAAUGGCGGGGGAACGUGGCACUGCUCUCGGGCAGUGUGUUUAUAGCCCCCGCUGAUGUUGCCUGCCUAGACCGAGGACUGCGGCUUCUGCCUAGGAUGCUGGCGUAAUGAUCCAMCACCGCCCGUCUUGAAACACGGACC
This 520-nucleotide ribosomal RNA is filed under the name Williopsis jadinii. RNAcentral describes it as "eukaryotic LSU rRNA". It matches the Rfam family "Eukaryotic large subunit ribosomal RNA", at positions 138 to 667 of the family's 3401-position model. The record is from RNAcentral. Lineage: Eukaryota; Fungi; Ascomycota; Saccharomycetes; Phaffomycetales; Wickerhamomycetaceae.